Molecule: transfer RNA, 86 nt
Filed under: Storeatula sp. CCMP1868
Lineage: Eukaryota; Cryptophyceae; Pyrenomonadales; Pyrenomonadaceae
Description: tRNA-Ser
Rfam family: tRNA
About the family: Transfer RNA (tRNA) molecules are approximately 80 nucleotides in length. Their secondary structure includes four short double-helical elements and three loops (D, anti-codon, and T loops).
Source: RNAcentral
GGAUAAAUGGUCGAGUGGUCUAAGACGUCAAUUUUGAAAAUUGAUUUGUUUUUUAAACAUCAUGAGUUCAAAUCUCAUUUUAUCUU